CCAAAAGAAGGAUUCUUUUUUUUCUUUUUCCUUUGCCCUACAAAAAAAAAAAAAAAAGAAGAGAAACUGAGCGCCGCUACAAACGAUAUGGUGACUAUGGUUCAGUCACGUUGAUGCAAGAGGCAGUGGGUUUCGAUGCGAUUUUGAGGGUGUUGUUUGUGGGAGCUUUAGGUGGUAAGAGUCGUGGGUUGAGAUGGUGAUGGAGAGGGCUGGUCGAUGUUGUAAAUGGCAGAGGCAGUGGGCUAUUAUUAAUUAGGUUGGUGAGGGUUCAAGGUUUAAGUGACGGGAAGGAAUGAGCAUAAUGGUAAUGCUGGAAUUUGGUGAUGAAGGUUGGAGUUAGUGAAGGUUGAGGGAAAUGGUGAUGGGUUUAGAAAUAGGUGGAGCUUUGGAAAAUGAUGGUAAUGAGGUUGUGUUGAUUAUCGUAAGGUAAUGGGUGAAUGACUAUGGUGAUGGUGAGGGAUGAGGGUUGAAGAUGAUUUGGAUGGUUAGUGCUGGUAUGUACAGUUUGAGCCCUCAUUUAGGGGCCCAAAAUGGAGGGAAAAGAGACAGGAAGAGACAGAGACCAUAGUGUCGAGGGAAAAACAAAGUUAUCCAGGUUUUGACUACAACUUCAUUUUCGGCGGGUACAAGUGAAAUAUCUCCAAAUAUGCCGAUACAAGUGUAAUAGGCUAGAAUCUAAACCAGAAUGAAACUUAUGCUCCAUGGUUCCGGUUUAUGUCCAAGACGAAAUGUAUAGGUUGGUAUAAUUGGUACCUGAACAGGACCAACUACCGUGAUAUCAACAGUUUUAAUUCGAAUUGAUCAUU
Molecule: long non-coding RNA, 806 nt
Organism: Gossypium raimondii (Peruvian cotton)
Lineage: Eukaryota; Viridiplantae; Streptophyta; Magnoliopsida; Malvales; Malvaceae
Exons: 3
Source: RefSeq, a predicted model, not a curated record